Molecule: ribosomal RNA, 667 nt
Filed under: uncultured Bacteroidales bacterium
Lineage: Bacteria; Pseudomonadati; Bacteroidota; Bacteroidia; Bacteroidales
Description: bacterial SSU rRNA
Rfam family: Bacterial small subunit ribosomal RNA
Source: RNAcentral
AAUACACCGCUGGCGACCGGCGCACGGGUGAGUAACACGUAUCCAACCUGCCCUUUACUCGGGGAUAGCCUUUCGAAAGAAAGAUUAAUACCCGAUGGUAUAACAUGACCUCCUGGUUUUGUUAUUAAAGAAUUUCGGUAGAGGAUGGGGAUGCGUUCCAUUAGGCAGUUGGCGGGGUAACGGCCCACCAAACCUUCGAUGGAUAGGGGUUCUGAGAGGAAGGUCCCCCACAUUGGAACUGAGACACGGUCCAAACUCCUACGGGAGGCAGCAGUGAGGAAUAUUGGUCAAUGGGCGAGAGCCUGAACCAGCCAAGUAGCGUGAAGGAUGACCGCCCUAUGGGUUGUAAACUUCUUUUAUAUGGGAAUAAAGUUUGCCACGUGUGGCAUUUUGUAUGUACCAUAUGAAUAAGGAUCGGCUAACUCCGUGCCAGCAGCCGCGGUAAUACGGAGGAUCCGAGCGUUAUCCGGAUUUAUUGGGUUUAAAGGGAGCGUAGGUGGACAUGUAAGUCAGUUGUGAAAGUUUGCGGCUCAACCGUAAAAUUGCAGUUGAUACUGCGUGUCUUGAGUACAGUAGAGGUGGGCGGAAUUCGUGGUGUAGCGGUGAAUGCUUAGAUAUCACGAAGAACUCCGAUUGCGAAGGCAGCUCACUGGACUGCAACUGACAC